This 785-nucleotide long non-coding RNA is filed under the name Fukomys damarensis (Damara mole-rat). RNAcentral's name for it is "lncRNA (ENSFDAG00000021744.1)". Lineage: Eukaryota; Metazoa; Chordata; Mammalia; Rodentia; Bathyergidae. The record is from RNAcentral.
GCCUCCCAAAUGCUGAGAUUACAGGCUUGUGCCACCACAGCCCACAUAAAAUGGCUCUGUCUUAGAAAAACCCAGUCAUGGGGGACAAGAACCAGCUAACAAAGGUGGAAGGUGUUGUGAGACUCAAGAAAGAGGCAGAAAUAUCCAGAGUAGCAGAAAGUGCCACUUCUGAGAGAUAUGAGGUCAGAAUGUGCCCCGGGAGACAACAAGACAGGUGGAUUCCAGCCUCCCAAGGCCAGAUGAAGUGGUUAGGAGACACCCCGAGCUUUGCCUGAGCACUGCAUAAUCACACUGCAGCGUACGCACAGGGCAGCACAACUGUGACAACGGCCAGCAGACACCCAACCAACUGCCAUGAUCGGUUUGCAUUUACAAAUGUUCACAACGCGGGGUCCAUUCUUAUCAGUGAAAGUUCUCAACUUCAGUUUUCAUAAGUCCAGAAUUUACCAUACAUUCAUAUACAUGUAACUCACGUUUAAACAGUUAAUAUCUGGUAUGUACAUGUGUACAAAUGUAACUCAUGUCUAAAUGGCUAAGAUCUCUUUGGCUUUCUCUCAUGCUUGGACAAAUUCUCAUUUUUCAGCUCCUUGACCUUCAUUUUUCUUAUUAUAUUUAAUUGACUUUUUAAUAUUAAAUUUUGCUUGAAAGAAUGAUUCCGAGUUGGAAAGCAAUGAAGUAGUCACAUACUGGAACAAUGCAUUAUGUCACAUUUAAUUUGAUCCAUAAUUGGAUAGCAAAUACUAGUUUUCCUCAUUAUUUUUCAUAUCAACACAAUAAAAUACAAU